Molecule: ribosomal RNA, 661 nt
Filed under: Bacillus pumilus
Lineage: Bacteria; Bacillati; Bacillota; Bacilli; Caryophanales; Bacillaceae
Description: bacterial SSU rRNA
Rfam family: Bacterial small subunit ribosomal RNA
Source: RNAcentral
UGGGUAACCUGCCUGUAAGACUGGGAUAACUCCGGGAAACCGGAGCUAAUACCGGAUAGUUCCUUGAACCGCAUGGUUCAAGGAUGAAAGACGGUUUCGGCUGUCACUUACAGAUGGACCCGCGGCGCAUUAGCUAGUUGGUGAGGUAACGGCUCACCAAGGCGACGAUGCGUAGCCGACCUGAGAGGGUGAUCGGCCACACUGGGACUGAGACACGGCCCAGACUCCUACGGGAGGCAGCAGUAGGGAAUCUUCCGCAAUGGACGAAAGUCUGACGGAGCAACGCCGCGUGAGUGAUGAAGGUUUUCGGAUCGUAAAGCUCUGUUGUUAGGGAAGAACAAGUGCAAGAGUAACUGCUUGCACCUUGACGGUACCUAACCAGAAAGCCACGGCUAACUACGUGCCAGCAGCCGCGGUAAUACGUAGGUGGCAAGCGUUGUCCGGAAUUAUUGGGCGUAAAGGGCUCGCAGGCGGUUUCUUAAGUCUGAUGUGAAAGCCCCCGGCUCAACCGGGGAGGGUCAUUGGAAACUGGGAAACUUGAGUGCAGAAGAGGAGAGUGGAAUUCCACGUGUAGCGGUGAAAUGCGUAGAGAUGUGGAGGAACACCAGUGGCGAAGGCGACUCUCUGGUCUGUAACUGACGCUGAGGAGCGAAAGCGUGGG